ACCCUGGGCAGUAGAAAGAAGGAACAGAAAGCAGAGUAGAUUAAGAGGAGCAAGUACAAAUGGCGUGGGACUUCAAAUCACCACCUAAGAUUACUUCUUUGAUUUCUGAAAAAGUAGGUCAAAGGAAGAUGUCAGGGGCAAGAAACCAAUUGGGUGUUGUGCCUAAGAACGUGGACCCUGUGGCCAGACUGCUUGGAUCAGUGUCCUCCCUCCACCACUUUGUAGCCAUCUGACCUCAGUGCUGGAGCAGAGGUACUGAAUGAGGAAGUGGAGUCUUGGGAUACCUUUGGAGGGAUCCAGUUAAUGGACUGGCUGCCAUAAUUGGUCUGAGACACUGGUGCAAGCAUGAGAAUGGGAAUCUACAGGUCUCUAUCCCUGGUGAGCCCGGAGGUUGAGUUUUCACAAGGGCAGCAAGAAGAAUCCCUUCUCCUCUUCCUGUCCACCUUCUGAAGAGGAGGAGACAGAGCCGGGUUGCAGAUCCUCACCAAAGUGGAUGCUGUUCCCAGAGGAAGGAAGGCCCCCCCGGGGCAAGGUUGCCAACAUGACCCCACAGAGACCAGGAACAAACGUUCUUGCCUUUGGACUUCACUUCUUCACAGAGCCAGAGUUACAGGCCAACCUGAAGAUGGUAUCAUGACUCACACACACUUAUUUCUCAGCCUCAGCCAGGCUCAAGAGCAAGACUGCUGAAGGAGGAAGGGCCCUUCAUGGCCUCCUCUGCCUCGUGACUGCUUUACCUGCCACUGAUGAGGCUUCCCUGGGAUGAGAUGGAGACGAGGGCACUGAAUGACUUUGAGUUAGGGGGACUCAAGAGGGUGAGGGCACCAUGAUCAUUACCCCUUCAGUCUCCUGUCUCCCUCUUGGCAUCUCUGCAACACAGAAGGCUGGCAAUGGUGAGAUAUUAUAUUGUCAAUUAUUCAAACUUUAGAAUUUUCUGAUGCCUCAACAUCCCUGCAAAUGGGCUGUGAGCACCUUGCCCAGGUGACCAGGUGCACCAGUGUGCUAAGGCUGGUCCGGGCCACAGGUUCCCCACUUUGUGCUCCCCUGACUGGGACCUAGUGACAUCAACACCACCAGUGCAAUCCCCUCACACCUUUUGCUUGUGGAUUCCCCUCUGAAGUCCAAUAAAGGCGCUUGUCUGA
This 1142-nucleotide long non-coding RNA is filed under the name Homo sapiens (human). RNAcentral describes it as "HSALNT0332704". Lineage: Eukaryota; Metazoa; Chordata; Mammalia; Primates; Hominidae. The record is from RNAcentral.